This is a ribosomal RNA of Crocodylus porosus (Australian saltwater crocodile), 120 nucleotides long. Lineage: Eukaryota; Metazoa; Chordata; Crocodylia; Crocodylidae. The record is from Ensembl.
ACCUGCAGCCCUGCACCACCUCUGAGCUGUGACCUUCUCUGAGCUCAUAAGCUAAGCAGGAUUGGGCCAGGUCAGUGCUUGGAUGGGAGACCUCAAAGCAAAGCCGAGGUGCUGCAGGAG